This 462-nucleotide long non-coding RNA is filed under the name Monodelphis domestica (gray short-tailed opossum). RNAcentral's name for it is "lncRNA (ENSMODG00000034474.2)". The record is from RNAcentral. Lineage: Eukaryota; Metazoa; Chordata; Mammalia; Didelphimorphia; Didelphidae.
CUAGGGACUUCCUGUGAGGAGGGUUAGAGGCAGUUGGAGGUUGAAGCUUGGUUUUGGAGGUGUCCCGAGGACUGCUUUCCUUCAGAAUGGUCAUCAUGACUUCACUUUUGGCUCUCAAAGGAACAUGAGGAACAGAAAAAACUAAUUACCACACUGCCAAAAGCUGCCAGUGUCUCUCUCAAGAAAAUAUCCUGUAGACUUCUGGGGGCAGAGCCAAGAUGGCAGAGUAAAGCAGAACAGCUCCAUGAUGAGAAGAGAAUCCUCUCCAAACAAGAUUAAAAUAUUACCACAAAACAAAUACAGGAGUGAAAGAACCAAUAAGGCAACAGAGUGAAACAACUUUAAAGGAAAAAAAACCCAACCCUAAAAGAGUGUGGAGAUAAUACUUGCCUGGAAUUUGGAAAGAAAGCAGAGAAUCAACUAAGGUAAAAAGUUGUAUAUUAAAAAUUAAAUGAAAAAGAA